GUUACCAAACUGUUGCCUCGGCGGGGUCACGCCCCGGGUGCGUCGCAGCCCCGGAACCAGGCGCCCGCCGGAGGAACCAACCAAACUCUUUCUGUAGUCCCCUCGCGGACGUAUUUCUUACAGCUCUGAGCAAAAAUUCAAAAUGAAUCAAAACUUUCAACAACGGAUCUCUUGGUUCUGGCAUCGAUGAAGAACGCAGCGAAAUGCGAUAAGUAAUGUGAAUUGCAGAAUUCAGUGAAUCAUCGAAUCUUUGAACGCACAUUGCGCCCGCCAGUAUUCUGGCGGGCAUGCCUGUCCGAGCGUCAUUUCAACCCUCGAACCCCUCCGGGGGAUCGGCGUUGGGGAUCGGGACCCCUCACACGGGUGCCGGCCCCGAAAUACAGUGGCGGUCUCGCCGCAGCCUCUCCUGCGCAGUAGUUUGCACAACUCGCACCGGGAGCGCGGCGCGUCCACGUCCGUAAAACACCCAACUUUCUGAAAUGUUGACCUCGGAUCAGGUAGGAAUACCCGCUGAACUUAAGCAUAUCAAUA
This 531-nucleotide ribosomal RNA is filed under the name Trichoderma viride. RNAcentral describes it as "eukaryotic LSU rRNA". The stretch from base 152 to 305 matches the Rfam family "5.8S ribosomal RNA". Lineage: Eukaryota; Fungi; Ascomycota; Sordariomycetes; Hypocreales; Hypocreaceae. The record is from RNAcentral.